This 253-nucleotide ribosomal RNA is filed under the name uncultured bacterium. RNAcentral describes it as "partial 16S ribosomal RNA". It matches the Rfam family "Bacterial small subunit ribosomal RNA", at positions 524 to 776 of the family's 1533-position model. The record is from RNAcentral.
UACGUAGGGGGCAAGCGUUGUCCGGAAUCAUUGGGCGUAAAGCGCGUGUAGGCGGCCCGGUAAGUCCGCUGUGAAAGUCGGGGGCUCAACCCUCGAAUGCCGGUGGAUACUGUCGGGCUAGAGUGCGGGAGAGGCGAGUGGAAUUCCUGGUGUAGCGGUGAAAUGCGCAGAUAUCAGGAGGAACACCGGUGGCGAAGGCGGAUCUCUGGGCCGAUACUGACGCUGAGGAGCGAAAGCGUGAGGAGCGAACAGG